Molecule: ribosomal RNA, 389 nt
Filed under: Syndiniales sp.
Lineage: Eukaryota; Dinophyceae; Syndiniales
Description: partial small subunit ribosomal RNA
Rfam family: Eukaryotic small subunit ribosomal RNA
Source: RNAcentral
AUUCCAGCUCCAAUAGCGUAUAUUAAAGUUGUUGCGGUUAAAAAGCUCGUAGUUGGAGUUCUGCCAGGUGGCGCUCGUCCGCCCAAGUGGUGUGUACAGGGCGUGCAUCUGGCCCUUUCAAGGGGAACGUGUCUGCACUUCAUUGUGUGGUGCGAGAUCCUUGACUUUUACUUUGAGGAAAUAAGAGUGUUCCAAGCAGGCUCUCGUCGUGCAUAGCUCAGCAUGGAAUAAUAGCAUUGGACUUCGUUUCUACGCUGUUGGUUGCAAGAAGCGAGGUAAUGAUGAAGAGGGAUAGUUGGGGGCAUUCGUAUUUACAUGUCAGAGGUGAAAUUCUUGGACCGUUUGAAGACAAACUACUGCGAAAGCAUUUGCCAAGAAUGUUUUCAUUA